UACGGAGGGUGCAAGCGUUAUCCGGAUUUACUGGGUUUAAAGGGUGCGUAGGCGGCCUUGUAAGUCAGUGGUGAAAUACUCCAGCUUAACUGGAGGGGUGCCAAUGAUACUGCAGGGCUUGAGUACAGAUGAGGUAGGCGGAAUUGACGGUGUAGCGGUGAAAUGCAUAGAUAUCGUCAAGAACACCGAUAGCGAAGGCAGCUUACUGGGCUGUAACUGACGCUGAGGCACGAAAGUGUGGGGAUCAAACAGG
This 253-nucleotide ribosomal RNA is filed under the name uncultured bacterium. RNAcentral describes it as "partial 16S ribosomal RNA". It matches the Rfam family "Bacterial small subunit ribosomal RNA", at positions 524 to 776 of the family's 1533-position model. The record is from RNAcentral.